Molecule: long non-coding RNA, 1374 nt
Filed under: Vulpes vulpes (red fox)
Lineage: Eukaryota; Metazoa; Chordata; Mammalia; Carnivora; Canidae
Description: lncRNA (ENSVVUG00000011963.1)
Source: RNAcentral
GGACUGCUUGCCAUGCCACACUGUCCUGUGUACAGAGAGGAAGGACAGGCCACUGCUCAGGAUAGCUCGCGAGCAGGACGGCCAUCCGACGGGCCUGGGGUCAGGCCACCACAGGGAGCCACCUCACUGGAAGCCCGGGUUCCCGCCGCUGCCUCGCAGAACAGUGCUCCUGCAGCAGAGCUGCCCGGCACCCCAGCCGGGCCCCUGGUGGCCAAGGACCCCGGCUUUAGGCAUCUCCUGGAGGAGAACAUGUUCCAAGUCCUGGCCCAAGAGCCUCUGCUCAAGAGGCCCCGCACCUGUCGGUGGCAGGCAGCAACCUGCUCUGUCUGCCCUUUCCCAAGAAGCUGUGGAGGCUCGUCAACAGCAGCCGGUUCACGUCCAUCUGGUGGGAGAAGGACAGGACGAGCAUAGGCCUCAACGAGAAGCUGUUUCAGAAGGAGAUUCUGGAGCAGGACGGGUCUGAGAAGGUGUUUGAGACCGACUGCAUGAAGAGCUUCAUCCGGCAGCUGAACCUCUAUGGAUUCAGCAAACUGGACCAGGACAUGCACAAGUCCGUCUGCCUCAGCAACUGCUUCACCAGGGAGUGGGACCGGGGCCGGUCGUGUCCUGAGCAAGUUCUACAGCAGCCCUCUCUUCAGGAAGGACUGCCCCCACCUGCUGAAGAAGAGGAGAGUGGGCGUGAAGGUGGCCCAAAGGCAGGAGGAGGACAAGGCUGAAGGGCUGGGAAGCCCAGCGGAGGUGGAGCCCAUCAAUGGCCAGCAGAGGAGCUCCUGUCCCUGCGGAGCACCAGCGGGAGCAGCAACAGGAGCUGGCAGGCGGCCUGGAGCAUUGCCGUCCCGCUGCCCCGGACAGGAGCAAGUCUGCCCCUCCCACCCCGGUCAAGAGCGAGUCCGCCCCUCCCGCCAUUCUCAGGGUGGCAGCUGAGCGCCCCCUGACCCAUCGCGGUGCCGAGUACCAGCCCUAGGACACCGGAGCGCCCAUGGCUCUCGUGGCUGAAGUGGCCGUACCCGAGGCGGUGCCCAGCCCUUGCCCGCCCUGCGGCCCCUGCAUAUGUACCCUCAUCCACCACCGCCCAUGGACCUGGCCGCCGUACGCCCUGUGCUGCUGCACCCUCCUCCCUUGUGUUCCCCGGGAUGAUGCGUCUGUGCCACCCGUGGGUGCCCGUCAUGGCUGCAGGGCCCGUCGACCCCAUGCCCUCCAUUCCUCCUCCCCGGGCCCGUUCCCCUACUGCCCGGUGUGCCACUGUUUCCUGGGAUACCUGCCACCUAUGGCUGGGUGCCCAGACUGCCCCUACACCUCUCCCUACUGCAGCUAGAGGGCUCGGACCUCGGGCGGGGCAAUAAACCGGACGGUGACUGGGCCGUUGUCUGCUGA